Molecule: long non-coding RNA, 725 nt
Organism: Prosopis cineraria
Lineage: Eukaryota; Viridiplantae; Streptophyta; Magnoliopsida; Fabales; Fabaceae
Exons: 2
Source: RefSeq, a predicted model, not a curated record
CUCUAUAUAUAACCAGGUAAAGCCACUUGCUGCGUUCGGGAUUGAUUAAUGAAUGAAGCAUUGACCCAUAGAUAUAUGUAUAUGGAAUAUGAAACUACUAUCCAUGUCCAGGGAUUUCAAUGAAGUUCAGGUCUCGAAAUCAACACAUUUGAAUGCUUGAAGCCAAGCCUCCUAAGCAGGACUUGCAUGAAGAGACGCAGAGAGUGUAGCACAGCCAAGGAUGACUUGCCGGCCGGCCGGCCGGCCGCCACCGUUACCCGAAAGAGCCACCCUUCCUGACAUUUUUUCCGGCAAGUGACCCUUGGCUAUGCUGGGCUCUCUUCUUCUCUUGCAAGUCCUCCAUUUACGAACGGACGUUCUAUAUCAGGAUUGGAGCUCCGAUCGAUUGUGCAGAAAUAAUGGGCUGAAUUUGACUUGCUGAACACCGGUGAAAGGUUACUUGCCGACCUAAUUAAUUGAGAAGGACACCUGAAUUUCAAGUACACGUACAUGGUCAAAGGGAUAGGAUGGGCAAGUGGCUUGGAAACUGACUUUACGCAAAGUGAUGAAGCAGAUAGACACAAAUUCAAAUAAAAUUAGUUUUUAUUUCUAUUUCUCCGUUUUCUUUGACUUGUGAGUGAAGUUUUUGUCAAGAUUUCAAACCUUACACAAGAGUGCUUUAAUGCUGAACAGCAUUUACUAAUGUGGAUUGGUCCCAUUAAAAAAAGGUUAUAAUCGCUUAUGCA